AAAAAGUCGUGUUUUACAGAUUCGAUCUCAACUGGACGCAACUUUUAAACGUUUUAACGGUGAUGUAAUUGUAUUGGCAACCAGUUUAGAAACAGCCGUAAUAAAAUCUUUUUCAUAUUUGGAAUUGGACUGCGAAUCUACUUACCAAAAGACUGUUAAUUUAAUAAUUGAAAGACACCAACGUCACAGGACUUACAUAAUGGAAGUAUGCGAUGAAAUAUACGAAUAUAAAAACAAGAAUUUCAACGCAAUAAUCAUUGUAUAUAGUAUUUGCAACCAAGUGUUUAAGAUAAUUUUUUAAUAAGCAUUUAGAAUAGGCAGUGUUAACCGUAAGUAGUUAUUAGAUUAAAUGAAAUGUAUUUUUCUACGAACUGUAAUUAUCUGCAUGCACAAAAAUCGAGAAUAAAACAAAAUUGGAUUCCAAAAAGGAAUUUCAAUGAGGGUAGUAAGUACGGUCGUUACAAAAUCGUACGCUCUACCAAUAUUUUUAUCGUU
Molecule: long non-coding RNA, 495 nt
Organism: Agrilus planipennis (emerald ash borer)
Lineage: Eukaryota; Metazoa; Arthropoda; Insecta; Coleoptera; Buprestidae
Exons: 2
Source: RefSeq, a predicted model, not a curated record